Cavia porcellus (domestic guinea pig) is the source of this 533-nucleotide long non-coding RNA. RefSeq lists it as uncharacterized. The transcript has 3 exons. The record is from RefSeq and is a predicted model, not a curated record. NCBI's taxonomy places the organism in Eukaryota, Metazoa, Chordata, Mammalia, Rodentia, Caviidae.
CUAUGGGUCUUGCUAUGCAGUGCAGGCUGGCCUUGAACUUGCUUAUGUAGCCUAGGCUAGCCUCAACCUCAUGGUGAUCCUCCUGCCUCAUCCUCCAAGUGCUGGGAUUAAGGCAUGCACUAACCAUGCCUGGUUUAAAAACAGAUUUUAAAAACUAUUCCUCAUUUCAUCCCUCUUUACUUUUCAGGAGAAUCAGUACCGGUCAAAUGGCAGCACAAGAGCAAAGUCAUAGAAUCACAACAUUCUGAGGAUAUAUACUUUUUUACCCAGCUCUGCACCUGGCUGCUUUGGGAUUAGCUGUUUACAUCCCACCACUUGGUAACUACAAGAUGCCAUUUCUGUCACUGUGAUGCAACUGAUCACAUCAGGUUACUGCAGGUUUAAAUGAAAACCAGGGGAAAGCAAAGCUCAUACAAGACUUCCUGCUGGAUCAGCUCACUGCAUCCAACUUCUUACCAUAAGUUUCACAACCUCUCCGCGGCCCUGCUCAGGGGCUGGAAAUGAGAUUUCUCCUGGGGAUGGAACACACAGAA